RNAcentral lists this ribosomal RNA (274 nucleotides) under uncultured bacterium. RNAcentral's name for it is "partial 16S ribosomal RNA". It matches the Rfam family "Bacterial small subunit ribosomal RNA", at positions 523 to 796 of the family's 1533-position model. The record is from RNAcentral.
AUACAGAGGGUGCAAGCGUUAAUCGGAAUUACUGGGCGUAAAGCGUACGUAGGCGGUUUGGUAAGUCAGAUGUGAAAGCCCUGAGCUCAACUUGGGAACUGCAUUUGAAACUGCCUGACUAGAGUGUGAUAGAGGAUAGUGGAAUUUCCGGUGUAGCGGUGAAAUGCGUAGAGAUCGGAAGGAACACCAGUGGCGAAGGCGGCUAUCUGGAUCAACACUGACGCUGAGGUACGAAAGCGUGGGGAGCAAACAGAAUUAGAUACCCGAGUAGUCC